GCCGGCGUGGCUCAGCUGGUAGAGCGUCGGCCUGCGGACUGAAGGGUCCCGGGUUCAAGUCCCGAUGGGGGCG
Molecule: transfer RNA, 73 nt
Filed under: Myotis brandtii (Brandt's bat)
Lineage: Eukaryota; Metazoa; Chordata; Mammalia; Chiroptera; Vespertilionidae
Rfam family: tRNA
About the family: Transfer RNA (tRNA) molecules are approximately 80 nucleotides in length. Their secondary structure includes four short double-helical elements and three loops (D, anti-codon, and T loops). Further hydrogen bonds mediate the characteristic L-shaped molecular structure. tRNAs have two regions of fundamental functional importance: the anti-codon, which is responsible for specific mRNA codon recognition, and the 3' end, to which the tRNAs corresponding amino acid is attached (by aminoacyl-tRNA synthetases). tRNAs cope with the degeneracy of the genetic code in two manners: having more than one tRNA (with a specific anti-codon) for a particular amino acid; and 'wobble' base-pairing, i.e. permitting non-standard base-pairing at the 3rd anti-codon position.
Source: Rfam by way of RNAcentral